GAUGAACGCUAGCGGCAGGCCUAAUACAUGCAAGUCGGACGGGAUUCAGGAGCUUGCUUCUGAUGAGAGUGGCGCACGGGUGCGUAACACGUAUGUAACCUACCUUUAUCAGGGGGAUAGCCUCUCGAAAGAGAGAUUAAGCCCGCAUAAAAUCACAGCACAGCAUUGUGUAAUGAUCAAAUAUUUAUAGGAUAAAGAUGGGCAUGCGGAACAUUAGCUAGAUGGCGGGGUAACGGCCCACCAUGGCGACGAUGUUUAGGGGAUCUGAGAGGAUGGCCCCCCACACUGGUACUGAGACACGGACCAGACUCCUACGGGGGGCAGCAGUAAGGAAUAUUGGUCAAUGGGCGGAAGCCUGAACCAGCCAUGCCGCGUGCAGGAAGACGGCCCUACGGGUUGUAAACUGCUUUUAUACGGGAAUAAACCCAGAUACGUGUAUCUGGCUGAAUGUACUGUAAGAAUAAGGAUCGGCUAACUCCGUG
RNAcentral lists this ribosomal RNA (482 nucleotides) under uncultured bacterium. Its description in RNAcentral is "partial 16S ribosomal RNA". It matches the Rfam family "Bacterial small subunit ribosomal RNA", at positions 28 to 507 of the family's 1533-position model. The record is from RNAcentral.